RNAcentral lists this ribosomal RNA (173 nucleotides) under uncultured bacterium. RNAcentral describes it as "partial 16S ribosomal RNA". It matches the Rfam family "Bacterial small subunit ribosomal RNA", at positions 600 to 773 of the family's 1533-position model. The record is from RNAcentral.
UCUUGGGGCUCAACCUCAAACCGGGUCCCGAACUGGCAGCCUCGAGUGCGGUAGGGGUAAGCGGAAUUCCCGGUGUAGCGGUGGAAUGCGCAGAUAUCGGGAAGAACACCGAUGGCGAAGGCAGACCUCUGGGCCGACACUGACGCUGAGGCGCGAAAGCUAGGGGAGCGAAC